CAAUAGCGUAUAUUAAAGUUGUUGCGGUUAAAAAGCUCGUAGUUGGAUCUCGGCAGGCAGGGGGUGGUUCGCUCUUAGCGCUACUGCCCCAUUUGCCUGUGUGAUUGGCGGAGGUUUCGGGGUGCUCUUCGUUGAGUGACCCGGGGCGCCGUCAGGUUUACUUUGAAAAAAUUGGAGUGCUCAAAGCAGGCUUUUCACGCUUGAAUAUUCGUGCAUGGAAUAAUGGAAUAGGAACUCGUUUCUAUUUUGUUGGUUUUCGGAAAUCGAGUUAAUGAUUAAUAGGGACAAUUGGGGGCAUUAGUAUUCAGACGACAGAGGUGAAAUUCUUGGACCGUCUGAAGACUAACUACUGCGAAAGCAUUUGCCAAGAGUGUUUUCAUUAA
Molecule: ribosomal RNA, 383 nt
Filed under: uncultured eukaryote
Lineage: Eukaryota
Description: partial 18S ribosomal RNA
Rfam family: Eukaryotic small subunit ribosomal RNA
Source: RNAcentral